UCGCUAAGAUUCGACCCU
RNAcentral lists this small nuclear RNA (18 nucleotides) under Arabidopsis thaliana (thale cress). RNAcentral describes it as "snRNA_01879". The record is from RNAcentral. Lineage: Eukaryota; Viridiplantae; Streptophyta; Magnoliopsida; Brassicales; Brassicaceae.